Molecule: ribosomal RNA, 253 nt
Filed under: uncultured bacterium
Lineage: Bacteria
Description: partial 16S ribosomal RNA
Rfam family: Bacterial small subunit ribosomal RNA
Source: RNAcentral
UACAGAGGGUGCAAGCGUUGCUCGGAAUUACUGGGCGUAAAGCGCGUGUAGGUGGCGAUGUAAGUCGGGUGUGAAAUCCCUCAGCUUAACUGAGGAAGUGCACUCGAUACUGUGUCGCUUGAGUGUUGGAGGGGAUGGCGGAAUUCCCGGUGUAGAGGUGAAAUUCGUAGAUAUCGGGAGGAACACCUGUGGCGAAGGCGGCCAUCUGGACAACUACUGACACUGAGACGCGAAAGCGUGGGUAGCAAACAGG